AGCUACUCAAAAGCUAACGCCGAACACGCCCUUAAACAACAAAACCCUACCCCUUUCUCUUCUUAUUUCCCAAGCUUUACCACGCCAUUCACGCCGUUUUCUCUUUCUCUUUCCUCUUCUAUCCUCUUAUCUCCUUUCCCAGAGCAAAAACGCCGCUACCACCACCUCCUUAACGUCGAUGUCGCUUAUCUCUUCCUUAACGUCGAUGUCGCUUAUUUCUUCCGUCCUCAACAUUAGCGUUGCUUCCUCCUCAACGCCAAAGGAGAAAUCGCCCCCUCACUUUGCCGGGGAUGCGUCGGUGUCGAGUUGAUGCUUAAAUUGGUAUUGUUUGAAGAAUUGCAUCGCUACAUAUUUGGUUGAACCGCAACUACUCUCUUACGUUUGUUGCUUAAAUUCGCUGAAAAUCAAGUCCGAAAAUUGAACUGGGCAUGCAUCUAAAUUUGUUGCUAUUCUCUACAUAACUCAUCGAUUUGCUGGAGUCCAAUUUUUUCUUGAAUUUUGAGUGUUCAUUUUCUGCCUUCAAUCUUCACAAGAAAAAGGAAAGAAAGGAGGUCGGUGCAUAUACUGGGUGGUCAAAGUUCAUUAUUGAAUUUUAUUGUAAUUAGAGAUUAGAGAAUUACAAUGAGACUAAUGUAACAUUUUUUUUUUAUUAUUCUUCACACUAUUGCUCAAGUAGUACAUUGCUGUGUUGUAACUCUAUUUUGCUUAAUUUCAAUAUCAUUUUAUUUUUUGUUA
Molecule: long non-coding RNA, 735 nt
Organism: Chenopodium quinoa (quinoa)
Lineage: Eukaryota; Viridiplantae; Streptophyta; Magnoliopsida; Caryophyllales; Amaranthaceae
Exons: 3
Source: RefSeq, a predicted model, not a curated record